GGUUGGCUCAGAAGCAGCCAUCCUUUAAAGAGUGCGUAACAGCUCACUAGUCGAGUGACCCUGCGCCGAAAAUGUACCGGGGCUAAGCCUGAUACCGAAACUGCGGAUUGUAGGAAACUAUAGUGGUAGGGGAGCGUUGUAUACGAGUAGAAGCCGUACCGUGAGGAGCGGUGGAUUGUAUAGAAGUGAGAAUGCCGGUGUGAGUAGCGAGAUGUAGGUGAGAAUCCUACACACCGAAAGCCCAAGGAUUCCAGGGGAAGGUUCGUCCGCCCUGGGUAAGUCGGGACCUAACGCGAGGCCGAAAGGCGUAGUGGAUGGAAAGCAGGCGAAAGAUUCCUGCACCCGUAUAUGGAGCGAAGGAGUGACGGAGACGGAUAGUGUGACCCUCUUAAUGGAUUGAGGGCGAAGCGAAGCGGCUGGUUACCAGGCAAAUCCGGUAACUGAAAGGCUAGAGCGUGAUAGGUAAGCGAAAUCUUAGGAAAGUAGCGAAGCACAUGAUGACGGCUUCCAGGAAAAGCUUCUGGCAAUGCAUAUGCGGCCCGUACCAAAACCGACACAGGUGGGCAGGGAGAGAAUCCCGAGGUGAGCGAGAGAACUGUUGCCAAGGAACUCGGCAAAAUGACUCCGUAAGUUAGCGAGAAGGAGUGCUUAAGCAAUUAAGCCGCAGUGAAGAGGCCCAAGCGACUGUUUAACUAAAACACAGCUCUCUGCGAAGUCGCAAGACGAAGUAUAGGGGGUGACACCUGCCCGGUGCUGGAAGGUUAAGAGGAUCUGUUAAGAGUGAUCUGAAGCAGUGAUCCGAAGCCCCAGUGAACGGCGGCCGUAACUAUAACGGUCCUAAGGUAGCGAAAUUCCUUGUCAGGUAAGUUCUGACCCGCACGAAAGGCGUAAUGAUUUGGGCACUGUCUCAACAGCCCGCCCGGCGAAAUUGUAGUACCGGUGAAGAUGCCGGUUACCCGCAACUAGACGGAAAGACCCCAUGGAGCUUUACUGCAGCCUGAUAUUGAAUUCUGGUCAUACAUGUACAGGAUAGGUGGGAGACAAAGAGACGUGCACGCCAGUGUACGAGGAGUCGACGUUGGGAUACCACUCUUGUGUGACCGGGGUUCUAACCUGGUAUCGAGAACAGGUACGGGGAGAGUGUCAGGUGGGCAGUUUGACUGGGGCGGUCGCCUCCCAAAGAGUAACGGAGGCGCCCAAAGGUACGCUCAGAUUGGAUGGAAACCAAUCGACGAGUGCAAUUGCAGAAGCGUGCUUGACUGUGAGACUUACAAGUCGAACAGGGACGAAAGUCGGGAAUAGUGAUCCGGCGGUGCCGAAUGGAAGGGCCGUCGCUCAACGGAUAAAAGCUACCCUGGGGAUAACAGGCUGAUCUCGCCCAAGAGUUCACAUCGACGGCGAGGUUUGGCACCUCGAUGUCGGCUCAUCGCAUCCUGGAGCUGGAUUCGGUUCCAAGGGUUGGGCUGUCCGCCCAUUAAAGCGGUACGCGAGCUGGGUUCAGAACGUCGUGAGACAGUUCGGUCCCUAUCUGUUGUGGGCGAAGGAGAUCUGCGGAGAGCUGUCCUCAGUACGAGAGGACCGGGAUGGACCUACCGCUGGUGCACCGGUUGUUCCGCCAGGGGCAUAGCCGGGUAGCUAAGUAGGGAAAGGAUAAGCGCUGAAAGCAUCUAAGCACGAAGCCUACUCCAAGAUGAGAUCUCCCAUUCG
Molecule: ribosomal RNA, 1707 nt
Filed under: human gut metagenome
Description: bacterial LSU rRNA
Rfam family: Bacterial large subunit ribosomal RNA
Source: RNAcentral